AAAAGGAUGCAAAUGUCGUAGAAUAGUGGACACGUGCACAAGGUGGGUUAGACACCAUUACUAUCAGAAAAGAAGAAGGAUUCCAUCAUUUUUUGAAUGCUAUAACUUCAUAUAGAAUCGUUCUGAAGGAUGUGUGUUUUGCUAGUGGAAAUUAUCUUCUAUUAUGGUGAAUAUAUGGUGCCUAUAACUUCAUAUAGAAUAUUUCUGAAGGAUGUGUGUUUUGUUAGGGGAA
This 232-nucleotide long non-coding RNA is filed under the name Capsicum annuum. RNAcentral describes it as "long non-coding RNA (CANN_LNC010513)". The record is from RNAcentral. Lineage: Eukaryota; Viridiplantae; Streptophyta; Magnoliopsida; Solanales; Solanaceae.